ACGGGAGGCAGCAGUGGGGAAUAUUGCACAAUGGGGGAAACCCUGAUGCAGCGACGCCGCGUGAAGGAAGAAGUAUCUCGGUAUGUAAACUUCUAUCAGCAGGGAAGAUAAUGACGGUACCUGACUAAGAAGCCCCGGCUAACUACGUGCCAGCAGCCGCGGUAAUACGUAGGGGGCAAGCGUUAUCCGGAUUUACUGGGUGUAAAGGGAGCGUAGACGGAGUGGCAAGUCUGAUGUGAAAGGCAUGGGCUCAACCUGUGGACUGCAUUGGAAACUGUCAUUCUUGAGUGCCGGAGGGGUAAGCGGAAUUCCUAGUGUAGCGGUGAAAUGCGUAGAUAUUAGGAGGAACAUCAGUGGCGAAGGCGGCUUACUGGGCUUUAACUGACGCUGAGGCUCGAAAGCGUGGGGAGCAAACAGGAUUAGAUACCCUGGUA
RNAcentral lists this ribosomal RNA (434 nucleotides) under uncultured Blautia sp. RNAcentral describes it as "partial 16S ribosomal RNA". It matches the Rfam family "Bacterial small subunit ribosomal RNA", at positions 341 to 792 of the family's 1533-position model. The record is from RNAcentral. Lineage: Bacteria; Bacillati; Bacillota; Clostridia; Lachnospirales; Lachnospiraceae.